RNAcentral lists this ribosomal RNA (575 nucleotides) under Pyrenophora tritici-repentis. RNAcentral describes it as "eukaryotic LSU rRNA". The stretch from base 225 to 378 matches the Rfam family "5.8S ribosomal RNA". Lineage: Eukaryota; Fungi; Ascomycota; Dothideomycetes; Pleosporales; Pleosporaceae. The record is from RNAcentral.
AAGUCGUAACAAGGUCUCCGUAGGUGAACCUGCGGAGGGAUCAUUACACAAAUAUGAAGCCGGACUGGGAUAGGGCCUCGCUGCCUUGCCCGUCUGGCGCCAUAUUCACCCAUGUCUUUUUGCGUACUACUUGUUUCCUUGGCGGGUCCGCCCGCCAAUUGGACCUUAUUCAAACCUUUUUUUCAGUUGCAAUCAGCGUCAGCAAAACAAAUGUAAUCAAUUACAACUUUCAACAACGGAUCUCUUGGUUCUGGCAUCGAUGAAGAACGCAGCGAAAUGCGAUAAGUAGUGUGAAUUGCAGAAUUCAGUGAAUCAUCGAAUCUUUGAACGCACAUUGCGCCCUUUGGUAUUCCAAAGGGCAUGCCUGUUCGAGCGUCAUUUGUACCCUCAAGCUUUGCUUGGUGUUGGGCGUCUUGUCUCUCUCCCGAGACUCGCCUUAAAAUCAUUGGCAGCCGGCCUACUGGUUUCGGAGCGCAGCACAUUAUUUGCGCUCUUGUCCAGCCGCGGUCGCGCGUCCAUGAAGCUUCUUUCAACCUUUUGACCUCGGAUCAGGUAGGGAUACCCGCUGAACUUAA